CCAGACUCCUACGGGAGGCAGCAGUGGGGGAUAUUGCACAAUGGGGGGAACCCUGAUGCAGCGACGCCGCGUGGGCGAUGGAGUGCUUCGGCAUGUAAAGCCCUAUCAGCAGGGAAGAAAAUGACGGUGCCUGACUAAGAAGCCCCGGCUAAAUACGUGCCAGCAGCCGCGGUAAUACGUAGGGGGCAAGCGUUAUCCGGAAUCACUGGGUGUAAAGGGAGCGUAGACGGCUGUGCAAGCCUGAAGUGAAAGGCGGGGGCCCAACCCCUGGACUGCUUUGGGAACUGUACGGCUGGAGUGCAGGAGAGGUAAGUGGAAUUCCUAGUGUAGCGGUGAAAUGCGUAGAUAUUAGGAGGAACACCAGUGGCGAAAGCGGCUCUCUGGUCUGUAACUGACGCUGAGGUUCGAAAGCGUGGGUAGCAAACAGGAUUAGAUACCCGGGUAGA
Molecule: ribosomal RNA, 446 nt
Filed under: uncultured bacterium
Lineage: Bacteria
Description: bacterial SSU rRNA
Rfam family: Bacterial small subunit ribosomal RNA
Source: RNAcentral